This 253-nucleotide ribosomal RNA is filed under the name uncultured bacterium. Its description in RNAcentral is "partial 16S ribosomal RNA". It matches the Rfam family "Bacterial small subunit ribosomal RNA", at positions 524 to 776 of the family's 1533-position model. The record is from RNAcentral.
GACAGAGGUGCCAAGCGUUAGGCGGAAUCACUGGGCUUAAAGCGUGUGUAGGCGGACUUGUAAGUACCUUGUGAAAUCCCACGGCUCAACCGUGGAACUGCUUGGUAUACUGCUUGUCUUGAGCCACUUAGGGGCUACCGGAACAAAUGGUGGAGCGGUGAAAUGCGUAGAUAUACGGAGGAACACCAGCGGCGAAGGCGGGUAGCUGGGCCAACACUGACGCUGAUGCGCGAAAGCUAGGGUAGCAAACGGG